CGGGGUGAGUAAUGUCUGGGAAACUGCCUGAUGGAGGGGGAUAACUACUGGAAACGGUAGCUAAUACCGCAUAACGUCGCAAGACCAAAGAGGGGGACCUUCGGGCCUCUUGCCAUCGGAUGUGCCCAGAUGGGAUUAGCUAGUAGGUGGGGUAACGGCUCACCUAGGCGACGAUCUCUAGCUGGUCUGAGAGGAUGACCAGCCACACUGGAACUGAGACACGGUCCAG
RNAcentral lists this ribosomal RNA (229 nucleotides) under uncultured bacterium. RNAcentral's name for it is "partial 16S ribosomal RNA". It matches the Rfam family "Bacterial small subunit ribosomal RNA", at positions 104 to 334 of the family's 1533-position model. The record is from RNAcentral.